ACAGUUUGGCACAGGAUUCAUUAUUAGAAGGCAUACUUCUCUAUUUGUUUAACGUAUAUAACUCUUCUUUCUGCAGGUGGAUUGAAAGCUCUUCAGAGCCUAGCACAAUGUGAACACAGCAGGCUUUUGCUCAUGUCUAAGAAUUAUGAUGUUUUAUUUUCAGCAUUGUACUGAGUUCUACUGCUCAGCUUCCUGAGGUUUUCA
RNAcentral lists this long non-coding RNA (204 nucleotides) under Canis lupus familiaris (dog). RNAcentral describes it as "lncRNA (ENSCAFG00845010420.1)". The record is from RNAcentral. Lineage: Eukaryota; Metazoa; Chordata; Mammalia; Carnivora; Canidae.